This is a long non-coding RNA of Prionailurus viverrinus (fishing cat), 874 nucleotides long. RefSeq lists it as uncharacterized. NCBI's taxonomy places the organism in Eukaryota, Metazoa, Chordata, Mammalia, Carnivora, Felidae. The transcript is spliced from 2 exons. The record is from RefSeq and is a predicted model, not a curated record.
CACCCGCGCGCCGCGGCAGCCCGGGCCGGCCCGGGACCGAGGACGCAGGGAGGGAGGCGCUGGCGGCGCGUCCUCCGCGUCCCGCCCGCUCGCCCGCCGCCGCCCACCGUCCGGCUCCCGGCCCGGGGAGGGGGGCUGGCAGGGGCGGCGCUGAGAGGCUCCUCGGGAGGGAGGGAGGCAGGGCGGGCCGCGCGGCCGCGACGAAUCCCGACUCGGGCGCGCCCCCUCUCGCGCGUCCUCAGCCACUCGGGGAGGAAGGGGUGGGAAACAUGAUAAUGACAGCCCGGGCUCUCGCCGGCCGGGCUCCUUCUCUCGCUGGCUCCGCGGAUAUUUUGGGAGGCCCGUCGGUGCCAGGCGCAGUCAGCAGCGAUGUUGAAACGGAGGUUCAGAGAAGUGAGGAGCUUUGGCCAAAUUCUCAGAACUAGAAAUGGAUUUCCAGGCCAACUGACCCCGGAGGCUGAACUCCCAGACACAGAUGAGGAAAUUCAAGAUGGGAGAGCCAAAUGCUGCUGCAGAAGUCUUUAGCAGGUCACCCGACUCUCCUGGCCACCCCAUGAGAAAACAUCCUAGGGAGGCAGGGGUUCCAGGCACUCAGGUGUCCGUGUUGGCAUAGCUCACUGCCCUGCACCACUGUGCUGAGGCCAUUAGGGUUUGAGGGCCCACAGCCAAGAGUCACUGUAUUUGUGCAAAGUCAUAGAUGCAAACAAGACACCUCGGGACAUCCAGCUCCUACUGCUUGGGUCAUGGCCUGGGAGGCAAGGAUUGGGUUUCUCUCCCUGCAUCUGCCCCAGAGGUGCUUUGUGACCAUGACCACCAAGCCACUUCCCUGGACUAGACUUCAGUGUCCUCAUCAAUAAAAACCAAGAAUUUUAAA